Long non-coding RNA from Bos taurus (domestic cattle), 1473 nucleotides. The record is from Ensembl. Lineage: Eukaryota; Metazoa; Chordata; Mammalia; Artiodactyla; Bovidae.
GAGAAAUGCAGUUUACAGUUCAGAUGCAAAGACAAAGCAAGUAUACAAAACAAUCAGAAUAAUUACAGGGAAGCAGCGUUAUACCACACAGAUUAACUGUCUUAUAGACAGUGAUUCUGCAUAUUGGUCUCAUGCAAAGAAGCACCCAAGGAUAUUUGUUUUUUAGAGAAGGAAGUCGAGUAAUCAGAGGAAACAAGCCUGGUAAAACAAGACACUGAAUGAGUGAUGUUACUUUUACUGCAUUAGGACCUAACUUGUGCUGUCUUUGUGUGAUCGCUGUUGCUCCUUGGAACACUUUCUACAGAGACCCAUACUGCAAAUUCAGCCCUGGAAGAAGCAGUAGAGAUGCCUUCUGGACAGUUUCAUCUCUUCCUUGCAAGCCUGCUAUGAAGGAGCCUCGUGAGAGAAGUCACGCGCACAUAGUGGGAGUCUCUUCCGUUUCCCAUCACGUGCUGCUCAGAGCCUUUGCGUUGAACGUUCAGCCUAUGAUCCUUCCUGUGUGCUUCCCACUCCUGUGGCUUCUUCUCCGUCAACAGAUUCCAACUUGUCAGAACUCAUAAAGUGCACAUGUCACCCUCCACAUGCUUUGUGGUACCCCUGGUCUUGGUUACACCAAUUCUGAAGUGGAGUGCCCAACACGCCUGAUUCCUUGGCUUGAAGGAAAGAACACUGAAUCAGAAGCUAGAAAGCCUGGAUUCGUGUCCCAGGCCUGUGCCACACCACCUGGUGACCUAACAGGUUGUUUUACAACCAUGUUCUACUCUUUCUCUCCCUGAGUGAUAAAUGCAUUCUGAAUUAUACACCCAUAGAAUGUGUGCUCACCUACCCUUCUCCCUAGAUAAAGACUAUUAGUCAUUCAUUCUCACUGUGAAUCAGUUUAAUCAGAUUGUAAGUGGGUGUUGGACAGCAUUGCCAAAUGGAGAAGGCAGGCCUAGAAGAGGCCUAGGAGGAAAGGAAGCAAAGAGGCCAAGGGGAGUCUUUGAUAAGUACCACAGGACUGCACUGGCUUCUAGCAACAGGAAAGAGGAGUCAGGAGCCGGGAGAUCACUGGUCAAAAAAAACUACCUUUGCAAAAACACAGGAAUUUAUCAUGAAAACAAAGAGCUCGAUAAAGGACAGAAAUGGUAUGGACCUAACAGAAGCAGAAGAUAUUAAGAAGAGGUGGCAAGAAUACACAGAAGAACUGUACAAAAAAGAUCUUCACGACCAAGAUAAUCACAAUGGUGUGAUCACUCACCUAGAGCCAGACAUCCUGGAAUGUGAAGUCAAGUGGGCCUUAGAAAGCAUCACUAUGAACAAAGCUAGUGGAAGUGAUGGAAUUCCAGUUGAGCUAUUUCAAAUCCUGAAAGAUGAUGCUGUGAAAGGGCUGCACCCAAUAUGUCAGCAAAUUUGGAAAACUCAACAGUCCUCAACUUUUCCAGAGGACUGGAAAAGGUCAGCUUUCAUUCCAAUCCCAAAGAAAGGCAAUGCCAA